GGUUUGAUCAUUACGUUUACUUCGUUGCUUGUGUCGAGUUGCUUCGGGUGCUGGUGCUUGAUGCGAAAACCAUAAGGAGCUCUGGUUCUUUCGAUGGUUCCAAGAGCUUACACUACUACCACAAAAAAGAGCUGGACUCUUGUUCGUCAGUGUAGGUGUAAUGAGUUGGUGUCGGAUUCUACAAGUGAGCAGUGCGCGAGAGUGUUGUCUACACCUUCAAACUGCUUUUGUAGUUUUUGGGGAAAGAUUAUACAAUAAUGUGUUGGUGUUUUCGCAUGCUUAGUCUUGUGUAUGAGUGUCAGACGGUCUCUAGAUGAACACAAAGUGUGUACAGCACUAACUAAAAACAGUCGCCUUUUAGACAAACCAGUGAAGAAGGUACGUUAGCAAAAGUAUGAGUGAGUAAGCAGGACGACAACAGUGUUUACCCACUAGGCUGUUUGAUACGUCAAAGUGAAAACGAAGGAAAGCACCAUCAGUUGUCGAGGUGGUGGUGUUGUGUGAUGCAGUGAUGUACUAGCAGCCGUCAGCAGCAAGCAUUAGAUAGGUAGGCAUUGAAAGAAAAACUUAGCAGAAACGCUUAGUACUUGACAACAUAUUGCACAUUGCUACCGUACCUAAUGUUUGCAAUCUCGCCAAGUGGAGACCAAACGUAGUUGCAUUCCACAACGCACUAUCACCUACAACGGCAGCAAAACCAGCAGUGAGAUUAGUCGCAAUAGGCUAACCAACUCCGGAACUCUUCAGUUCGUAUUUUCAUCAUUAUUUUUCCUUUUUGAUUUAAUGGUGCCCUCAAUAGACAAUCAAAAUUGAUUGCGUUCAGAACACGAGAGGCGGCGGCUCUUCGGGAAGGUCCUCCUCGUCGGACGAAGACCUCAAUGAACGACCACCAGCGAGAAAACGCGCUCGCAAGACUGAUCCUGACCCGCCGGCGGAAGCAGCAUCAGGUCUCCUCCACAGCUUGCCACCGUCCUCGGUCAUCGUCGUCGUUGUGGUAGAGCAGGCGGAGGAACAGCAGCCGGAAGGGGAGCGCGAAGCGGGAAGUGUCGAAGUGGCCGCACCCAGGCAAGAGCAACAGCAGGAGGAACAAUUCUUAGCAGCAGUACGCUCGGAAGCACCUAGUGAGCAAGUCAGGUCGGCAGCAGAGGUGGAGAGGGAACGGGACGGCGGUGACAGUCGUCCUGCUGCUACCACCGCCGCUGGUCGUCGAAGGUCACGUAUCAGCAGUACAAUCGCUGCAGAAGAUAGUGGAGCUGUAGGUGGUGGUGGUGGUGGUGGUGGCGGAGCUGGUGAAGGCGCAGAAGAUACCUCAACAGUAGGCGUUGCAGUGGAGGGGAUUAAUCGAGGCUUCUGCAGCAACAAGAGACGAAGUUCACGAGGAAGACCGCAGUGCGCUGGUAGUGGAGCAGACAGAAGCAUUGAUCGGCACGGGGAAAGUCGGCUGCGUUCCACCGGGCGCCAGGAAAAUCACUACCAAAACGCCUCCCAUUCUCGAUCCGUGUGUUUCUUAGAGAGGCACGAGUCCAGCAUUGGGCAUAGAGGCUUUGAUAACGAAGAUAUUUCCGAAGAGAGCGAGGGGGAAGAGGAGAACGUCGACGAGGGUCAGGAGAACGCCGUGCAACAGCAGUUGGUUGAACAACCGAGUGACGAGUCUUCGAGCCCCCAAUCGAAACGACGAAAGAUGUUAAACGACAACAACAAUCGUAACGGAGCUGGUUCUCUGGCAGAUACGGCCGCAGCCCCGUCUUCGAUGGAUGAUUCAACGAACUGUGAUCUGAAUGGUCACAACAAUGUGGCGAACAGUAGCAGCAAUAGUAACAACACUACCACCGUUAAUAAUAGUAGCAACGCUGCCUCCGAAGCCGAUGGCAAUGGUGUGACCAACAAUGGACUGAUAGCACGCAACGGUAGUGAUGCUGGUGGUGGGGCCAAUUCCUCUUCCUCCUCCGGUGGCUCAGCAGGUCACUCGCAGCGAGCUACAGUUGUGAAGCUCGAUCGCACUAACCAGGACAUCGUACGAUUGAUCGGCCAGCACUUGAAGGACAUCGGUCUCGAGCGGAGUGCCGAAAUGUUGAUGCAAGAAUCGGGUUGUUGUCUGGAGCACCGUGCCGCGACUAAGUUCCGUUCCCACGUCCUGUCAGGCGAUUGGACGAAAGCAGACCACGAUCUGCAAGAGCUGCAGUCAAUGGUGGAUAGCAAAACUGACCGUACCAGCCUGAACGAGAUGAAAUUUCUAUUGCUCGAGCAAAAAUAUCUCGAAUUCCUGGAAGAGGGCCGCCCGAUCGAUGCCCUACACGUGCUGCGUAACGAGCUUACGCCGUUGCAGCAUAAAACUCCACGAGUUCACCAGCUGUCAUCGUAUAUGAUGUGCACGAACAAUCAGGAACUGUAUCAGCGAGCUGGCUGGGAAGGUCGAGGCGUUAAGUCGCGCACUCGAUUGAUGGAUCGAUUGCAGUCAUACCUCCCGGCAACGGUAAUGCUGCCUCCGCGCCGACUACGGUCGCUGUUGGCCCAGGCUGUGGAGAUGCAGAAUGAGCGCUGCCAGUGUCACGAUAUGGCCUGGAGUACUAGCCUUGAGAACGUUUCACUGCUAGUCGAUCAUAACUGCGGUGCGGACGGUUUUCCGCUGCAGGCACUACAGGUGCUGAACGAUCAUUCUGAUGAGGUGUGGUUCUGUAAAUUUUCCCCGGACGGACUGCGAUUAGCCACUGGUUCAAAGGACAAUACCGUAAUCGUAUGGGAAGUAGAUCCGGUGAAGUUAUGGCUGCAAAAUAAGCGUUCAUUCGAGGGCCACACGUAUGGCGUGUCAUACAUUGCAUGGAGCCCAGAUUCGAAACACUUCAUUGCGUGCGGUCCAGACGAUUGUCCCGAUCUCUGGAUCUGGGAUGUGGAGCAGGAGAAAUUGAUCACGAAAUUUUCACACUCCACCGACGAUAGCUUGACGUGCGCAGCGUUCAACCGUGAUGGGACCCGGUUCGUGACAGGCGGUACCCGUGGUCAAUUCUAUAUGGUCGAUCUUGACGGCAGCUUGCACGACAACUGGGAGGGCGUUCGUGUGAACGGGUUGGCCUUUCUGUCCGACAACAAAACUGUGCUGGCUGCCGAUACUCACUACCGGAUACGGGGCUACAGCUUUGACAAUCCGCGCACUGACUAUGGGAUCGUGCAAGAACAGUGUCCUAUCAUGACGUUCUCCGUAAACGGAGCGGACCGGUUGGCGUUGCUCAACAUAUCGUCCCAGGGCCUGCACCUGUGGGACUUGCAGGACAAGUGCCUGGUGCGGAGAUUCCAAGGGGUCACACAGGGCAAUUACACAAUCUACUCUUGCUUCGGCGGAGUAAACGAAAGCUUCGUGGCCAGCGGUAGUGAAGACAACAAGGUAUAUAUUUGGCACAUCCGACGCGAGGAACCACUAGCCACGCUCAUUGGGCACACUCGCACGGUCAACUGUGUCAGCUGGAAUCCGGUGUAUCCGUCACUGUUGGCUUCGGCGUCAGACGAUGGAACGGUUCGUAUCUGGGGACCACAGCAACCGCACACACAGUGGAGUUCGAACGGUGCUGGCAUUCACCAACAGCCGACCACAGCUGGUGGCGGUGGUGGAUUAGUUUGCGCUAACGGUAAUGGUGGUGGAGCCGUUGCAGCUGCAGCUAGCGAUAGUGCCUCGAUCAGUUCCACCGGUUCAGCCACCUCGUCGUCAUCAUCGGCGUCAUCUUCAUCUGGUGGUGGUACUGGCGGUGGUGGCGUUUCUGGAGUUUCCGGUGCCCCAGGUGGCGGAGGAGCCGGUGGCAGUAUUGAAGUACUAUCAACCUCAUCUUGGAAUAUCACAUAAUGUUAAGCUUCGAGAAACGUUCGACUUCUCCAAGAAAACUGAAAAACGCUUGCGUGAGCGUUCUGAUCUUCGAAUGGGGGAAAGCUGAAAGAUAUUCAACCAGUCUGCUGUCGCCUCAACGAAGAGAAGAAACCGAACAGAAUCGCAACUGGAUGAGAAAAUGACAAACGAGGAAGAAGUAUGUAGACACACCAAGGAAUGAACAAUAACACUUGAGCAAGUGAAAGGCGCAGGGAAAGUAAAAGAAAACACACAGAAACACACAAUUUAGGGAUUUAUGGUAGUUUUAACAUUUGAACUUGAUAGCAGAAGCAGAGCCCUUAAUUAUUAAAUUCGUAUUAAAGCGUUACACUAAGGCGUUAGUGAGAUAAAUGGAUGGAUGGUGUUGGGAGACCGAUUGGAAUUUGACUGUUCAACUUGCACAGAGCAAAAACGACGAUGAAACCUUCCAACAGAUCCCUAUGAAGUGAAGAGAAAAAUUAUAGCAAGUGGAUAAAAACCUGCCGUAAUCGACAAAGAAACAACAGCGACACUUCUACAGCGUCUUUGGCGAGAAGCAAGAAUGGAUUAGGUGGAAGGCCAUUGCUUACAGUAGAACGGAAUUCGUUCAUGAUCUGCAGCAAAACGAGCGAGCGCUGAAGUAACGGCGAAUAACAAAACGAUUAUUAAACUUUCGUAGUCGAUAAGGAUCGAACGAAACGGUGCUCUACCCGAACAUGUGUAGAGAAACUGAUGGCAAAUAAAUAUUAAAACAACACUGAAAUAUAGAUAAACGAUCAUGAAACUCAUGGACAUUUGUGGGGGAGAGGGUCAAUGAUGUACGAAUUGUAAUCUUAUUCGUCGAUGAAAAUAAGCUCAUUAUUUUAUUCAGUUAUUGCAUUUGAAGAUUUUAUUAUAGCAAUUUAGCAAACUUCAACCUUCAUCGUGGACAAACAAGUC
Anopheles bellator is the source of this 4771-nucleotide RNA transcript. It is a transcript of the gene named WD repeat-containing protein 26 homolog, with no coding region annotated. The transcript has 7 exons. Lineage: Eukaryota; Metazoa; Arthropoda; Insecta; Diptera; Culicidae. The record is from RefSeq and is a predicted model, not a curated record.